AAAUUAUUAUAAUAUUUUAUUUUAUCGCGACUUUUCAACUAAAUUCCCACUAGGUUCUAAAAAUAUAUGGUAAAAGCUUUUUAUUUCUAUUAUACUUUUCGUAUUUCCGCGGGUAAUUAUAUAUAUUAACGUAUAUUAUUAAUUUAAAAAAAAUAAAAUAAUAUUUUUAAACUAAAAAGCCCCCUCGGAUAAAUAAACACUAACCAAUUUCUUUUUAUCCUAACCCCGAAUUAACAAUUCACUUUAUAAUAAAUAUAAAAAUUGUCCAUAUUAAUAAACAUUUUAUAAUAGGUUAAACUAACAAACACUUACCUCCGGCUAUUAAGGACCCAUUCGUAUCCACUACCACGUUUACACGGCGAUAAUUUGCACUGGGUAUUUUUUCAGUGGUAUUUCGGCCAAAUUAAACAAAAGGUAUGGUAACGGACAAAAGCGCCAUACAAAAAAAUCAGCAGGGUAACGGGAAAGGAGGUUACGUGAUUGAAAUUCAACGGUGCGUUCCAUGGUGCGUGGCCCGUUGGGCAAAAUUCCGGUUACAAUUCUAACACAAAAUGGGACAAAUUUAAGGGGGGUUUAACUGGGAAUAAAUCCCAAAUUGUAUUUCCGCAAUAUUAUUACUGGGUGGAGUAUAAUAAAUACGAAUAAAUGUUUAAUAACCGGAGGUAAAUGCUCGUUAGUCUAGCCUUUUAAAAUUAAAUUGUUUUGACGGAUUAUUAGCAGGAUUCUAUUUCCUUAUAUGGUAAAUAAUCUCAAAAUUAAAAAAGAACAAAUAUAUUAUCCAGCGCGCUUAUUUCCCAUUUAACUUGGAUAUUUUUACAAAAAUUUCCCAUCUUAAUAAUUUACAACCACAAUCAUUAGCGAUAUAUUACCUCUUAAACAGUGUUUCUAAUAUUUAAAAAUUCUGGCUAUAACGUUUAUUAUUUGAUCCGGGGUCCCCCAAUUUAAUUAGGUUUUAAACCCUGUUUUGAAUUGCAAAACAAUAGGAUAUUAACCAUCCUCAAAACGCUAUAAUAAAAUCGCUUCCUACGCGUGCACCAAAAUAUGAAUUUCCAAACGUAUAGAAAAUAAAAAUUGUAAUAACGUAAUAAAAACAAUUAAAAAAAUGCAAUUAUUAAUUUUUUAAACGUUAUCAAAAUAAUAUUACGUUUCAAAAGCGUAAUGUUCCCGGGCUUUUACCUUUUUAAACAAUUUCUUGGAUAAUAAAUCGCGUAAUACGUAUUAUUAUUGUACGAUAAUACCGAAAUAAUUUUCCCGUAAUUUUAUUUUGUCGAUUUUUCCAAUAUUUGAAAUUUUUAUAUCCCCCGAAUUAACGUUUCCCUUUUUGGUUACAUUUGCGUAUAAUUUAAUUUCCGCCGGAAUUUGUAUUAUUCUUUCUAAUUUAUUUUUAUUUGUACGUUAAAUAAAACUGUUUUAGGUAAUUUGCGAAUUUCUUUCCUUUCCGUUCCCAUUUCUUUCGGUUUUUUGGUCCUAUUACUGGAAAAUAAUGCUGCUAAAUUAUUUUCAACCCGUCGUUUUUAAUUUUUAAUAUUAUUCCCAUAAUCUUAUAUCCGAAUUGGCGUUUUAUCCCGGGUAAAAAAAUAAUACCGCGAUAAAUAUUUUGUUAUUUCCUUAAUUUAAAUACUAAAUGUUACAAAACGGUAAAAUACGAUUUUUCUAUCUCCCUAUCCAUAUAAAAUCUUAAAUCAAAAAAAUAAAUUUAAAAUUUAAAAAAAGAUUAUUCCAUAAAAUAUUUAAAUUGCUCCAACUUUGGCGUAAUAGUUUUUUUCAUUUUUUUAAUUUUUUUAAUUUCGAUAAAUAUUUGUAUUUAUUUAACAAAAUUGCUUUAAUUAAUUUCGGUAACGGUACGUUCGGGCUUUGAAAACUCCAAAAUAUAAAUAUUAUAACGGUUUUAAAACGCAAUCGAUAAAAUUAAAAAUUUAUAAAAGGUUUUGCGUCUUGUAUAUAGUAUUUUUCGAAUAUUAUUUUAAAUAUUUUUUAUAUUUAUAAUAAUUAAUUAUUUAAUUAUUUUUCUAAUAAAUUAAGCUCCAGGAUAAAAAAUAGGCAUUUUUGGUUUCCUUCUUUUAAACUUUUGAAAAACUGGCGUUUUUUUUAAAUAAAAGAUUGGAAUUGCUUUUGACGUUUUUUAAUUUCCCGUUGGAAAUCCAGCUUUUGUUAUAUAUGUUUUCUAUAACGUUCGAAUUGGCGUAAUCUUUCUAACAUGGAAAUAGAUUACAAGUUUAAUAAUGUUUAACAAUCCGCCUAAAUAAUUGUAAGCUAUUAAAUAAGUGACCGAAAUAAAAAAAUUAAAAUUGUUAUAACUGGGGAUAAAUAUAUAUUAAAUACACGUUAAUUAACAAAAUAUAGGCUAAUAAUAUAGCAUAUAAUAAUCCACGAUAAUAUUAUAAUAAUAGCAUAUGGAUUUGAAAUUAAUUUGCAAUUUUUAAAGUUUAAAUACCCCUAUUUAUAAGCGGCGUUCCUAUUGCGUUUACGUAACGCAAAUUUACAAAUUAGAGAGAACCGAGCCCCUAAGGUUGUACGCUAAUAUGUAGGCACUAAUAAAUCUGCACGUAAUAAUAAAUUUAUAUUAAUGAAAACAGUCCGUCAAAAAUGCGUGGUAUAGGUAUAAAUAUUAGGCUAUUUAACGCUGUUAGAAAAUAAAAGGUAUACCCAACGUGAUUAAAAUAUAAUAAAAAAAGUAUUUAAAGGAACUCGGUUUUACGCCGGAAAACGUCCUGGCGGUUAGGGAACGCCCUGGAAAAAAGGAAAACCCGAUUUACAACUUUUAUAAUUAUAUUUCGUUAAUAAAGGACCAAUUUCAGCAGAAAAUACAAAUACCCAGAUUAAUAUUACCGUGGAUACCGAUUUUACCUAUUUUAUUAAUAUAUGCGUAUUAUAAUUUUCCCAAUUAUUUUUAUCUCCCGCCCCAAACAGGCCUUCCAAACUGUGCCCACGGUAUAUAUUAUUAGUUAUACCUUUUUCCCGUUAACUUUGGGAUACGAAACCGUUUGAAGACCGUUUUUCGCCGCCAAUACCGGUCGAUAAAAAAAUAAAUUAAAAAUACCCGGGUUAUUUUGUGACCGUUUGGGCGACCGGGAAAGGGCGAUUAAAUUAGAAUUCCAGAAAUAAAUAUUUACAGCGCAAUUUAUAAUUUUAAUUUAUUUGCAAGUUUUAACCUUUUUCGUGCUUGUAAUAUUUAUAAACGUAAAAUAAAUUUUUAUAAGCUAUUUUGUUAGCAAUUUGCUAAUAAAUUUGCCGGCCCACGGUUUUGUUCAAAAUUAAAGUUUUAUAACCGCCUUUUUCAAGAGGCCCACAACGAACAGCCACCAAGUAGAAAUAAGUUUAAAUUUGGCGUUGGCUUCUAAAUUUAAUAAUGCAAACGGAUAUUUAUCCCCAAAUUUUUGCUUUAAACUUUAUAAGUUACUGUUUUUUAUUAUAAUAUUUGUUAUAUUAUUAUAUUAUUUAAAUUCAUUUUUGACAAAUUUU
This 3462-nucleotide small RNA is filed under the name Pyricularia oryzae. RNAcentral's name for it is "Magnaporthe oryzae sRNA M_BR32_EuGene_00144781". Lineage: Eukaryota; Fungi; Ascomycota; Sordariomycetes; Magnaporthales; Pyriculariaceae. The record is from RNAcentral.